GCGGUUGUAGCCAAGUGGUAAGGCAGCGGACUGUGACUCCUCCAUUCGCGGGUUCGAACCCCGUCAAUCGCC
RNAcentral lists this transfer RNA (72 nucleotides) under Neodangemannia microcystis. RNAcentral's name for it is "tRNA-His". It matches the Rfam family "tRNA". Rfam says of the family: Transfer RNA (tRNA) molecules are approximately 80 nucleotides in length. Lineage: Eukaryota; Viridiplantae; Chlorophyta; Ulvophyceae; Oltmannsiellopsidales; Oltmannsiellopsidaceae. The record is from RNAcentral.